Molecule: non-coding RNA, 88 nt
Filed under: Aggregatibacter aphrophilus
Lineage: Bacteria; Pseudomonadati; Pseudomonadota; Gammaproteobacteria; Pasteurellales; Pasteurellaceae
Description: Aggregatibacter sRNA 22
Rfam family: Aggregatibacter sRNA 22
Source: RNAcentral
UGCGGUCAAAAAAUUUAAAGGAUUUUAAACAUUGGCUUUACCAAUAGCUCCUAAGGAGCGAAUAAAUCACAGGUAUAUGAGUAAAACU